ACAUGUAGCUAUGCCUCUUUGAAAGUGUCUGACCUCACAUGAUUUCCGAAGCUAAGCAAGGUCAGGCUUAGAUAACAUGGGGAGAGGAGACUGCCUGGGAAUAUUUGAUACUGCAUCUG
This 119-nucleotide ribosomal RNA is filed under the name Notamacropus eugenii (tammar wallaby). The record is from RNAcentral. Lineage: Eukaryota; Metazoa; Chordata; Mammalia; Diprotodontia; Macropodidae.